This 253-nucleotide ribosomal RNA is filed under the name uncultured bacterium. RNAcentral's name for it is "partial 16S ribosomal RNA". It matches the Rfam family "Bacterial small subunit ribosomal RNA", at positions 524 to 776 of the family's 1533-position model. The record is from RNAcentral.
UACGUAGGCAGCGAGCGUUGUUCGGAGUUACUGGGCGUAAAGGGUGUGUAGGCGGUUGUUUAAGUUUGGUGUGAGAUCUCCCGGCUCAACUGGGAGGGUGCGCCGAAUACUGAGCGACUCGAGUGCGGGAGAGGAAAGUGGAAUUCCUGGUGUAGCGGUGAAAUGCGUAGAUAUCAGGAGGAACACCGGUGGUGUAGACGGCUUUCUGGACCGUAACUGACGCUGAGACACGAAAGCGUGGGUAGCAAACAGG